This 253-nucleotide ribosomal RNA is filed under the name uncultured bacterium. RNAcentral describes it as "partial 16S ribosomal RNA". It matches the Rfam family "Bacterial small subunit ribosomal RNA", at positions 524 to 776 of the family's 1533-position model. The record is from RNAcentral.
UACGAAGGGGGCUAGCGUUGUUCGGAUUUAUUGGGCGUAAAGAGCGUGUAGGCGGUUCGGUAAGUCUGUCGUGAAAUCCUGAGGCUCAACCUCGGACGUGCGAUGGAUACUGCCGGGCUAGAGGAUGGUAGAGGCGAGUGGAAUUCCCGGUGUAGCGGUGAAAUGCGCAGAUAUCGGGAGGAACACCAGUAGCGAAGGCGGCUCGCUGGGCCAUUCCUGACGCUGAGACGCGAAAGCUAGGGGAGCGAACAGG